Anolis carolinensis (green anole) is the source of this 318-nucleotide long non-coding RNA. RefSeq lists it as uncharacterized. The record is from RefSeq and is a predicted model, not a curated record. The transcript has 2 exons. Lineage: Eukaryota; Metazoa; Chordata; Lepidosauria; Squamata; Anolidae.
AACAAUAUCUAUGACUUCUUUUGUACCAGUUUCUAAAGAGCAAGUAAUCCUCUAGAGAAGGAUCCCUCAAAAUGGUGCUCUCCCUCCUCUUCCAACUCCCAUAAUCUCAGGAUAGCACCGCUAAUGACAACACUGUUUCAAGGUUUUGCUGGUCAAGGUGAACUCUAUCUACAACAAAAGGAGAGAGAAAAGAGUUAGAUAAAACAUCUAAGUGGAACAAGGGAGAAAUGAAACAAAAUGCAAGAAGACAUUUGAAGAGAUUCAAAAACAAUGAGGCUGGGAGUCCACAAAACAAAGAAAUAAACCUGCCUGAAUGGA